AAUCAACGCUGGCGGCGUGCCUCAGACAUGCAAGUCGAACGAGAAAGUCCCCUUCGGGGGAUAAGUAAAGUGGCGCACGGGUGAGUAACACGUAGGUAAUCUACCUUCGGGUGGGGAAUAACCCAGGGAAACUUGGGCUAACACCGCAUAAUGCAGCGGCACCACAUGGUGACAGUUGUUAAAGCGGGGGAUUUUCGGACCUCGCGCCUGAAGAGGAGCCUGCGGCGGAUUAGCUAGUUGGAAGGUAACGGCUUACCAAGGCAACGAUCCGUAGCCGGCCUGAGAGGGCGGUCGGCCACACUGACACUGACAUACGGGUCAGACUCCUACGGGAGGCAGCAGUCGGGAAUUUUGGGCAAUGGGCGAAAGCCUGACCCAGCAACGCCGCGUGAAGGAUGAAAUCCCUCGGGAUGUAAACUUCGCAAGAAUGGGAAGAAUUAGCGAGCGCUAAUACCGCUCGUGAUGACGGUACCAUUUGUAAGCUCCGGCUAACUCCGU
Molecule: ribosomal RNA, 498 nt
Filed under: uncultured bacterium
Lineage: Bacteria
Description: bacterial SSU rRNA
Rfam family: Bacterial small subunit ribosomal RNA
Source: RNAcentral